This 497-nucleotide ribosomal RNA is filed under the name uncultured bacterium. Its description in RNAcentral is "partial 16S ribosomal RNA". It matches the Rfam family "Bacterial small subunit ribosomal RNA", at positions 28 to 507 of the family's 1533-position model. The record is from RNAcentral.
GAUGAACGCUUUCUUCUUUCCUAAUACAUGCAAGUCGAGCGAACAGACGAGGAGCUUGCUCCUCUGACGUUAGCGGCGGACGGGUGAGUAACACGUGGAUAACCUACCUAUAAGACUGGGAUAACUUCGGGAAACCGGAGCUAAUACCGGAUAAUAUAUUGAACCGCAUGGUUCAAUAGUGAAAGACGGUUUUGCUGUCACUUAUAGAUGGAUCCGCGCCGCAUUAGCUAGUUGGUAAGGUAACGGCUUACCAAGGCAACGAUGCGUAGCCGACCUGAGAGGGUGAUCGGCCACACUGGAACUGAGACACGGUCCAGACUCCUACGGGAGGCAGCAGUAGGGAAUCUUCCGCAAUGGGCGAAAGCUUGACGGAGCAACGCCGCGUGAGUGAUGAAGGUCUUCGGAUCGUAAAACUCUGUUAUUAGGGAAGAAAAAAUGUGUAAGUAACUAUGCACGUCUUGACGGUACCUAAUCAGAAAGCCACGGCUAACUACGUG